RNAcentral lists this ribosomal RNA (500 nucleotides) under uncultured bacterium. RNAcentral describes it as "partial 16S ribosomal RNA". It matches the Rfam family "Bacterial small subunit ribosomal RNA", at positions 28 to 523 of the family's 1533-position model. The record is from RNAcentral.
GAUGAACGCUGGCGGCAGGCCUAAUACAUGCAAGUCGAACGGUAACAUGAGUAGCAAUACUUGAUGACGAGUGGCGCACGGGUGCGUAACGCGUAUGCAAUCUACCUUUAACCGGUGAAUAGCCCGAAGAAAUUCGGAUUAAUACACCAUAGUAUAAUGAGCUGGCAUCAGUUUAUUAUUAAAGCUCCGGCAGUUAAAGAUGAGCAUGCGUGACAUUAGCUAGUUGGUGAGGUAACGGCUCAUCAAGGCGACGAUGUCUAGGGGAUCUGAGAGGAUUAACCCCCACACUGGUACUGAGACACGGACCAGACUCCUACGGGAGGCAGCAGUAAGGAAUAUUGGACAAUGGUGGCAACACUGAUCCAGCCAUGCCGCGUGCAGGAUGACUGCCCUAUGGGUUGUAAACUGCUUUUGUACGGGAAAAAACCUCUUUACGUGUAAAGAGCUGAUUGUACUGUAAGAAUAAGGAUCGGCUAACUCCGUGCCAGCCGCCGCCGUAA